AAGCCAGUCUGCUCAGAUUGUGUUUCUGCGGAAAUUUUUUAUAAUUGGCGAUAGCAAUGCCAUGUUACAAGCCUUAAUGACGGGGUCUUUAAGGUCCCUGAAAGUGGCUAUAUGA
Small nucleolar RNA from Erinaceus europaeus (western European hedgehog), 115 nucleotides. The record is from Ensembl. Lineage: Eukaryota; Metazoa; Chordata; Mammalia; Eulipotyphla; Erinaceidae.